AGCCCACCUCUAGCCUCACUUACUCCUAACAACUAACUAAAAAUAGACUUUCCCCACCAACUAAAACAUUUUCCCCCAACUUAGUAUAGGCGAUAGAAAAGGAACCCUCCCCCGAGCGCAAUAGAGAAUACGUACCGCAAGGGAAAGAUGAAAUAACAAUGAAAACCUCAAGCAACAAACAGCAAAGAUAAACCCUUGUACCUCCUGCAUCAUGAUCCAGCAAGAACAACCAAGCAAAACGAACUUAAGCUUGCCCCCCCGAAACCCAAGCGAGCUACUUGUAAGCAGCUGUACCCGAGCAAACCCGUCUCUGUUGCAAAAGAGUGGGAUGACUUACUAGUAGAAGUGAAAAGCCUAUCGAGCUGGGUGAUAGCUGGUUACCUGCGAAAUGAAUCUUAGUUCCCCCCUAAUCCCUCCCCAACAGACACUCGACCUGGCAUGAGAAGAUUAAGAGUAAUUUAAAGGGGGUACAGCCCCUUUAAAAAAGGAUACAACCUUCACCAGAGGAUAACCAACUCAUCUCACGAACAGUAGGCCUUAAGGCAGCCACCACUAAAGAAUGCGUCAAAGCUCAACACCCUAAAAAUCCAAUAAACAAUAUGACUCCCUCCUUACUAGCAGGUCAAUCUAUGCACAUAGAAGAAUCAAUGCUGAAAUGAGUAACUAGGAGUUCACUCCUCUCAAGCGCAAGCUUACAUCACACAAUUAACAGACUAUCAACCCUUAUGCCUUAACCCAACAAGAACAAAACAUUUUUUCCUCUGUUAACCCAACCCAGGAGCGCCAACUAGAAAGAUUUAAAUCUGUAAAAGGAACUAGGCAAACCAAAGGCCCGACUGUUUACCAAAAACAUAGCCUUCAGCGUACCAAGUAUUGAAGGUGACACCUGCCCAGUGACAUCAGUUUAACGGCCGCGGUAUCCUAACCGUGCGAAGGUAGCGCAAUCAAUUGUCCCAUAAAUCGAGACCUGUAUGAAUGGUUGAACGAGGUCUUAACUGUCUCCUACAGAUAAUCAGUGAAAUUGAUCUCCCUGUGCAAAAGCAGGGAUACACCCAUAAGACGAGAAGACCCUGUGGAACUUAAAAAUCAGCAGUCACCGCACACAAAUCUUCCCCUAAGGGGCCACAACCCUUCGCACGCUGACUGCCAUUUUUUGGUUGGGGCGACCUUGGAGAAAAGCAAAUCCUCCAAAACUGAGAUCACACCUCUUAACCUAGAGCUACACCUCAACGUGCUAAUAGCAACCAGACCCAAUAAUAAUUGAACAAUGAACCAAGCUACCCCAGGGAUAACAGCGCAAUCCCCUCCAAGAGCCCCUAUCGACGAGGGGGCUUACGACCUCGAUGUUGGAUCAGGACAUCCUAAUGGUGCAGCCGCUAUUAAGGGUUCGUUUGUUCAACGAUUAACAGUCCUACGUGAUCUGAGUUCAGACCGGAGCAAUCCAGGUCGGUUUCUAUCUAUGAUGAACUCUUCCUAGUACGAAAGGACCGGAAGAGUAAGGCCAAUACCACACAGCACGCCUUCAAAAAGUCAGUGAAUACAACUCAACUACCACAUCACUUCAUUAACCCUAGACAAGGGCG
This 1583-nucleotide ribosomal RNA is filed under the name Asio flammeus (short-eared owl). RNAcentral's name for it is "16S ribosomal RNA". It matches the Rfam family "Bacterial large subunit ribosomal RNA", at positions 383 to 2836 of the family's 2925-position model. Lineage: Eukaryota; Metazoa; Chordata; Aves; Strigiformes; Strigidae. The record is from RNAcentral.